GAUCAUGGCUCAGGAUGAACGCUAGCUACAGGCUUAACACAUGCAAGUCGAGGGGCAGCGCAGUGUAGCAAUACAGUGGGCGGCGACCGGCGCACGGGUGCGUAACGCGUAUCCAACCUUCCCGUUACUCAGGGAUAGCCUUCCGAAAGGGAGAUUAAUACCUGAUGGUGUUGAAAUUCCGCAUGUUAUUUCAACUAAAGAUUUAUCGGUAACGGAUAGGCUCGCGUGACAUUAGCUAGACGGCGGGGUAACGGCCCACCGUGGCUACGAUGUCUAGGGGUUCUGAGAGGAAGGUCCCCCACACUGGAACUGAGACACGGUCCAGACUCCUACGGGAGGCAGCAGUGAGGAAUAUUGGUCAAUGGACGCAAGUCUGAACCAGCCAUGCCGCGUGCAGGAAGACGGCUCUAUGAGUUGUAAACUGCUUUUGUACAAGGGUAAACCCUGGGACGCGUCCCAGGCUGAAAGUACUGUACGAAUAAGGAUCGGCUAACUCCGUG
This 500-nucleotide ribosomal RNA is filed under the name uncultured bacterium. RNAcentral's name for it is "bacterial SSU rRNA". It matches the Rfam family "Bacterial small subunit ribosomal RNA", at positions 15 to 507 of the family's 1533-position model. The record is from RNAcentral.